Long non-coding RNA from Sphaeramia orbicularis (orbiculate cardinalfish), 703 nucleotides. RefSeq lists it as uncharacterized. The record is from RefSeq and is a predicted model, not a curated record. The transcript is spliced from 3 exons. NCBI's taxonomy places the organism in Eukaryota, Metazoa, Chordata, Actinopteri, Kurtiformes, Apogonidae.
UCUCCCUCCUUGCCACUGCACGGCACUGCGCCAGCAGCGCCGUACCUUAAUUGUGGGGCGGUGCCAGACGCGCCUUUAUAAUCAGGUGAGUGGUCACACCUGACCCUCUCCUUCCAGUCCUUUGAGCCAGCGUGGCGGUGACUGCAGCUCGGCGUGGCGGAGCCCUUUGUUUGCGGUGGGCAUCGCAAACAUUCAACCCUCAGUGACUACAGACGGUGUAGGGGGAACAGAUCACCCCGCCGGAGGUUUGGUGGGAAGUAACGUGGUCUGCCUGUGUGGGCUGCAGGUAACUGCGGUUCUCCUCCUCCUGUUCUCUGUGACGCUGCGCCAGUGGUAUGUAUGUAUGUGCAUCAUUCUCUUUAAUUGAGUAUUUUUUUUGCAUUUAUUAAUUAGAGUGUUUUCUUUUGAUUAAUUUAAAGGUUGCAGUAAGUGGUGGCCUGUCAUCAGCCACCACACUCAUUGACUGUUGCUGUUUUGGCUUGGUGGUUUGGUUUUGCUGUCCCGUCUUUUUUUGCCUUGCUGUUCUGGUUUGGCUGUUGUGCUACAGUGGACCCUGGAUAUCGUCUCUGUCCGGUGCCGCAUUGGCCAAGUCGGGUUCGGCCCGAGUGUUUCGCCCCCGGACCUUGGCUCGUCUCCCCUCCCCUUCUCCGGACGGUCCGGCUCCUGCUCGUCUUUCCGGACCUGAUCCUCUACCUGUGGCGGG